Molecule: ribosomal RNA, 946 nt
Filed under: Listeria monocytogenes
Lineage: Bacteria; Bacillati; Bacillota; Bacilli; Caryophanales; Listeriaceae
Description: partial 23S ribosomal RNA
Rfam family: Bacterial large subunit ribosomal RNA
Source: RNAcentral
UUCUAAGGGCGGUGAAGUCAGACCGGAAGGACUGGUGGAGCGCUUAGAAGUGAGAAUGCCGGUAUGAGUAGCGAAAGAAGGGUGAGAAUCCCUUCCACCGAAUAUCUAAGGUUUCCUGAGGAAGGCUCGUCCGCUCAGGGUUAGUCGGGACCUAAGCCGAGGCCGAUAGGCGUAGGCGAUGGACAACAGGUAGAGAUUCCUGUACCAGUGCUAAUUGUUUAACCGAUGGGGUGACACAGAAGGAUAGGGAAUCGCACGAAUGGAAAUGUGCGUCCAAGCAGUGAGUGUGAGAAGUAGGCAAAUCCGCUUCUCGCGAAGCAUGAGCUGUGAUGGGGAAGGAAAUUAAGUACGGAAGUUCCUGAUUUCACGCUGUCAAGAAAAGCCUCUAGGAAGAGUAGUACUGCCCGUACCGCAAACCGACACAGGUAGAUGAGGAGAGAAUCCUAAGGUGAGCGAGAGAACUCUCGUUAAGGAACUCGGCAAAAUGACCCCGUAACUUCGGGAGAAGGGGUGCUCUAUUAGGGUGCAAGCCCGAGAGAGCCGCAGUGAAUAGGCCCAGGCGACUGUUUAGCAAAAACACAGGUCUCUGCAAAACCGUAAGGUGACGUAUAGGGGCUGACGCCUGCCCGGUGCUGGAAGGUUAAGAGGAGUGCUUAGCUUCGGCGAAGGUACGAAUUGAAGCCCCAGUAAACGGCGGCCGUAACUAUAACGGUCCUAAGGUAGCGAAAUUCCUUGUCGGGUAAGUUCCGACCCGCACGAAAGGCGCAACGAUCUGGGCACUGUCUCAACGAGAGACUCGGUGAAAUUAUAGUACCUGUGAAGAUGCAGGUUACCCGCGACAGGACGGAAAGACCCCGUGGAGCUUUACUGCAACCUGAUAUGGAAUGUUUGUACCGCUUGUACAGGAUAGGUAGGAGCCGAAGAGACGUGUGCGCUAGCAUACGAG